Taeniopygia guttata (zebra finch) is the source of this 1050-nucleotide non-coding RNA. Lineage: Eukaryota; Metazoa; Chordata; Aves; Passeriformes; Estrildidae. The record is from RefSeq and is a predicted model, not a curated record.
GGAGCGCCGCCCCGCCUGCUCCCGCCGCGCUCCUCCGCUAAAGGCGCUUUCGCCUCCUGCGAGUGCGGGGACUCAAUCUCUCGCUUUCGGGCGGGUCUGAGCCCUCUCCCCGGGCAUGUCCUACAGGCGCAUUAAGGGGCCUGAGUCAUGCUGAGGUGCGCUGGGAAGCGGCAAAGAGUCCCCAAGGCGAGCAGGGGCAGGCGUGAGUGCCGAUGCCACCGGCUGCGCCCGCGGGCCCGAUGGAAAAUCGCCUCCCGGGCUGGGUACAAGAUGUUCUUCUAAGUGCGCUCUGUGACCGGCCAUGACUUGAUCUACUACCAGGCUUCAGAGAAAUGUCUUCUGUAAUUGCAUUACAGUAAGACAACGCAUUGUGAGAUUAAUGCACAUAACUGUUAUUAAAACAAUUUGUAAAUGUAUUCUCCACAAAAUGGAUAAUAAAACACAUGGAUCUUUGCCUCAGUAAUAAAACAAAAUUGUUGCAGAGAAAAUUCAUCAGACGUAUUGAGAGGACUACAAGGCCCAUUUGCAUGUGGUGCACAUGGCCCAGAUCAUGUCACCAAGUAGUCACAGUUUUCUGCUGUAUUUUUCUUCUUUUCUCCUUUCAUGUGUAUCACCAUCCUGGCACUGGACGAUAGGAUGCACAAAUCUGAUUUUGCUAACAGAGAUUUUCCUCUGCUUCUGAUGAUAUUCAGAGACAAAUUGCCACACAGAAAGCAAAAUGCCCAUCUCACAUUCUUCAAGUACCCUGCUGCCAUUUCUGUGUCUGGGGAAAUGUAUGGAUGGGCCAUCACUUUCACCCUUUCCUUUCUCAGCAAUUAGAAAAGGAAUUUUUGAUCAAAUAGGAUGGGCACUCAGAGUUCUGUGUCCUGCAACUUCUUCUUUAGAUUUCAUUCUGAUCAUGUCAUUGCUGUAAAACUUGCAUAAAUGCUUCCUAUAGAGCAAUUUGAACACAGAAAUUUGCAAGUGAAAUCAGUUAAUUAGUUUAUAAAUUAUGAGUCUUCCAUAAUUUUGGAAAAAAAAUACAGCUUUGGCAACUGCAGCCUGCAGUUA